UAUGUUUAUUAAAUAAUCUUACCCGAAAAAUUAAGAUCUACGCUAUUUUGAUUUUUAGAAAAUAAAUGUUUAAUGUAGCAUCAUUAUUAGUAAAAAAUCGCGUAGGGGUGAAAUACUAUCAAUUUAUUUGAUAUCUGGAUUAAACUGAAAUGAAUAUAGUUCAUAAAAUAAUCACAAAGUUAUAAGAUUUUGUGAAGCAAGAAUAAAAAUUUAAUAAGCUUUCAACGAAAUAAAUUUUUAGAUUGAUUGACAAUAAAAAUAUUUAUAUUUAUGCUAAUCUGUGCUAUUAAGUUUAUAUCUGUAAAAAUUUCUGGAUGGAUUAAUAAUGUUUAAAUUAGUAAACUAAGCAAAUUUAACUAAAGGAACUCGGCAAACAUAAUCUUCAACUAGUUUAUCAAAAACAUAGCUUUUAGAAAAUACAUUUAAAGUUUAAUCUGCCCAGUGAUAAAUUUAACGGCCGCAGUACAUUGACUGUGCUAAGGUAGCAUAAUAAGUUGACUCUUAAUUGGAGUCGGGUAUGAACGGAUAGCUGGAGAUUUUCUGUCUCAGGUUAUUUAUGUUUAAAUUACUAAAAAGGUGAAAAUUCCUUUAUUGACUAUGUUAGACGAGAAGACCCUGAGAAUUAUUACUAAAAAUCUGUCUGUUUAAGUUUUUGUUGGGGCAACAAAUUAGGUUAACCGACUUAUUAAUAUAAUUUCAUGUAAUGACUUUAUGGAAUGGCAUAAAUUACCUCAGGGAUAACAGCAUAAUUAUUUUAUUAGAUUGUGACCUCGAUGUUGGACUAAGGGCUUUAUUAAAUAGCCUUUAAUAAAGAUAGUUCUGUUCGAACUGAGAACCUUACAU
Molecule: ribosomal RNA, 843 nt
Filed under: Orcula dolium
Lineage: Eukaryota; Metazoa; Mollusca; Gastropoda; Stylommatophora; Orculidae
Description: partial 16S ribosomal RNA
Rfam family: Archaeal large subunit ribosomal RNA (bases 343-590)
Source: RNAcentral